AUGGAGGCGAAGGCUCGCUCCUCGAUGAGUAUGCUUUACGACAGCGGCCUGGAGAGCCCGCUGGCUGGCGCCGAGGACGGCCCCGCCAAGCUGCUUCCCUUCCUAGUUCGCGCUCUUGAAGAUGUCGCCCUUGGCCUUGGCCCCACGGCCGAGGCCGAGGCGCGUGUCCUGUCUUCUGCAGCACUGACGGGGGUCCUCACCCACAUCUACCUCCGCGAUCCCGGCGUCGACCUCGACAUCCUCCUAGAGCCAGUAAGCGGCGAGCGUGCCGCUGCCGCUGCCGAGGCCGUGAAGGGUCGCGCGGAGGCUCUGCUAGGGAAGUUCCCGGCCUUCAGCACCAAGCCGAAGCAAGGCGCUGCCGACCCCACUACUCCAUGA
Molecule: ribosomal RNA, 378 nt
Filed under: Triticum aestivum (bread wheat)
Lineage: Eukaryota; Viridiplantae; Streptophyta; Magnoliopsida; Poales; Poaceae
Description: partial small subunit ribosomal RNA
Source: RNAcentral